AGAGUUUGAUUAUGGCUCAGGAUGAACGCUAGCUACAGGCUUAACACAUGCAAGUCGAGGGGUAGCAGGGUAGCAAUACCGCUGACGACCGGCGCACGGGUGAGUAACACGUAUCCAACCUUCCCAUAACUCAGGGAUAGCCCUUCGAAAGAAAGAUUAAUACCUGAUAGUACUUUUUCAAGGCAUCUUGAAAAGUUAAAGAUUUAUUGGUUAUGGAUGGGAUGCGUUCCAUUAGAUAGUUGGUGAGGUAACGGCUCACCAAGUCUUCGAUGGAUAGGGGUUCUGAGAGGAAGGUCCCCACAUUGGUACUGAGACACGGACCAAACUCCUACGGGAGGCAGCAGUGAGGAAUAUUGGUCAAUGGGCGAGAGCCUGAACCAGCCAAGUAGCGUGAAGGAAUGAAGGUCCUAUGGAUUGUAAACUUCUUUUAUAGUAGAAUAAAGUGAGCCACGUGUGGUUUUUUGUAUGUAUACUAUGAAUAAGGAUCGGCUAACUCCGUGCCAGCAGCCGC
RNAcentral lists this ribosomal RNA (511 nucleotides) under uncultured bacterium. Its description in RNAcentral is "bacterial SSU rRNA". It matches the Rfam family "Bacterial small subunit ribosomal RNA", at positions 8 to 518 of the family's 1533-position model. The record is from RNAcentral.